GAUGAACGCUGGCGGCGUGCCUAAUACAUGCAAGUCGAGCGAACAGACGAGGAUCUUGCUCCUCUGACGUUAGCGGCGGACGGGUGAGUAACACGUGGAUAACCUACCUAUAAGACUGGGAUAACUUCGGGAAACCGGAGCUAAUACCGGAUAAUAUAUUGAACCGCAUGGUUCAAUAGUGAAAGACGGUUUUGCUGUCACUUAUAGAUGGAUCCGCGCUGCAUUAGCUAGUUGGUAAGGUAACGGCAUACCAAGGCAACGAUGCGUAGCCGACCUGAGAGGGUGAUCGGCCACACUGGAACUGAGACACGGUCCAGACUCCUACGGGAGGCAGCAGUAGGGAAUCUUCCGCAAUGGGCGAAAGCCUGACGGAGCAACGCCGCGUGAGUGAUGAAGGUCUUCGGAUCGUAAAACUCUGUUAUUAGGGAAGAACAAAUGUGUAAGUAACUAUGCACGUCUUGACGGUACCUAAUCAGAAAGCAACGGCUAACUACGUG
RNAcentral lists this ribosomal RNA (497 nucleotides) under uncultured bacterium. RNAcentral describes it as "partial 16S ribosomal RNA". It matches the Rfam family "Bacterial small subunit ribosomal RNA", at positions 28 to 507 of the family's 1533-position model. The record is from RNAcentral.